UCCCUGGUGGCUCAGUGGUAAAGAAUCUGCCUGCCAAUGCAGGAGACACGGGUUCAAUUCCUGAUCUGGGAG
RNAcentral lists this transfer RNA (72 nucleotides) under Bos taurus (domestic cattle). It matches the Rfam family "tRNA". Rfam says of the family: Transfer RNA (tRNA) molecules are approximately 80 nucleotides in length. Their secondary structure includes four short double-helical elements and three loops (D, anti-codon, and T loops). Lineage: Eukaryota; Metazoa; Chordata; Mammalia; Artiodactyla; Bovidae. RNAcentral also lists the same sequence under 5 other names. The record is from Rfam by way of RNAcentral.